Rhagoletis zephyria (snowberry fruit fly) is the source of this 1152-nucleotide long non-coding RNA. RefSeq lists it as uncharacterized. Lineage: Eukaryota; Metazoa; Arthropoda; Insecta; Diptera; Tephritidae. The record is from RefSeq and is a predicted model, not a curated record.
GUUUCCAUUCAUUCGCAUUUGUGCUUCACAGUGAAGCAGUCAUAAGCCGCGCAAGUUUCCAAACGAAAGCACAGAACUCUAACAAUAUAAAUAAAUACGAGGCAGACGAACCCUUCUCUUUUUGAUUUAAAUUUUUUUUAAUUUUGUUUUCAUUGAGGAAAUCAAGAGGGCAGCAACAGUGCGCGUCGCGUUAAGUGUUUGGUGGUAUUUUUUGAUUUGCAAAUUUGUUGAAGUACUUGAAAUUUCAUUGAAUUAAAUAAUUUGCAAUUCAACGAAUUAGAUUGCAUACAAGGUUUAAAUGGAUUUUUCGAUGUUGUGUGCCGGAUUGAAGAAAAUAGACAGCUGAAUAAGAAAUAAAAAAAAACAGUUUCUCUCAUUUAAUUGCAAAAAGUGUGAUGUGAUCAUACAAAUGUGCAGAAAAAACUUCUUAAAUAUACCAAAUAAACUUUAAUUUUUGCCGAACCAAAGUUCAAAGUCUUUCGUUUCGAAUUUGUUAAUUUUACCUGCCAACAACGUACCGUUUAGUGUGUUUUUGUGAAAUUGUGUUAUUUUGCUGGGGAAAAAAUAAUUAAAUUUUGCUUUGGCUGCGUGCAAUGCACCAAUAAAAAAGGUGAAAAGCAAUCACACAUCUAUAAAUCAAUGAUAAAUAAUUGCUAACAUCAAUUUUUGCAAUUUAAACCGGCUCCGAUUUCCAGAUUGAAACAAAGUGAAACAGGAAUACUGAAUGAAGCUUGAAUUUUCCGGAUUCCGCAGUGUUUUCCAGCUAGUAAAUCUAGUCGACAGGCUGCUCAACUGCGCGGCCUUGAGCUCGCUCACGGUGCUCUAAAAGCAAGUUGAAGAAGGUCUGAUUUUUCUAUAGAGAAAACCAGAGGGCGAAUACCUUUGACAACACGUGGACCACUUUCGGGAAGAUGGAUCUUAAGUAAGCACUUCAAUGUCUUUCCGGUGGGUGUUUGACAGGUUAAAUAUCUUACCAGAUACUCACUGUCGCUGCAGGUAGAUGACGUGGAAUCACUCAAAAUUUUCGUUAAGCUAUCUAGGAGGUUUCUUUCUAACUGCCUUGCAUUGUUCCUUUUAACCAACCCUGAGAAGCCCUUCCAUGUUGACAUUUGCUGCCUGUGAAACUUCUAUCCUGAUUUUUGCUAUAGCUUA